UGCCGAACACGAAGGAAUCGAGAAUGAAGGGCAAAGGAGAUAGGGAUAGAUUGCCAACUGCCUAAGUUCAACCUGAUCCCAUGGAAUAUUUCUGGGCCGCACUAAAUUCAAUGCUCUUGACUCAAGAAGGUUGAGAAGCUGCUUCUACUUAUUCAAGCUUGUGAGUAUUCCAAGAAAAACAGUAUCUGUGUUUUUCUGUAGAGUGCACAACGCCGCUCACACACUCUGCUUCACUCAGCAAAACCACCACCCGAGAGGCCCAUCUUACUCAUCUCUGCCCACAGCAGAAGAAACUGAGGCCCGGAGGCUGGAGGGGUCUGCUCAGGACUGUCCCUGUACCAACAUCAGAGGGGACUCGGGGACAGGAGCCUCUCACCGGCCUCCUCACCUCAGGAGAGGACAGUGAAGACUGGGAGAGGGCUUGUCAGGCCUUUCGUAUUUAUUCUCAUGACGGCUGCCAUGGAGACAACGCCAACCACCAUGGGCUGGGCACUUUGCCAGGUGUCGCUGACGAUUCUAUAGCCGUCCUGGAGCUCCGCUUAGAAGACGGUGGUUCGGGACCGCUGUGGGCAGCCGACCUCUCUUCCUCUGCGUUCUCCGUGUGCCUCUCUUGCACCCAGCCCGUGAUCAGACAGCAGCGUCGUGAAACCAUAUUACGUUCGUUCCUUGCUAAACGCCUUCCCAGAUAACCUGAUUCUCUCCGCUGCUUAUUAAAGGUAACAAAGACACUUGAGUGAAGACCAAGUGAAGUGACAUAGGCACAGCAGGUGUCACGGAAACUGGUCCAUGGUGCUGGCUCUCCACUCUCUGCCCAGUGAACAAAGAAAUAGAAUUUGUUCUUGGUCGAGGUUCAGCCUCAGGGCCGGGCUGCGGAGCCGAGCCCCGAUUGCUCCCAGCAUCCAAGAUAGCAUCUCGCUCUGUCCUUGUCCCUCCACGAUGAGUCAACGGGCCGCUCGGGCCAUUCCCGGAGGGGAGCCGGACCUUGCUUCAGUGACCGCGACAACAGAGCUCCAGGUCACGGCGAGACAAUCCAGCUUGCGCUCCUUCCCUCCCCCCACUCCCAGCGCGCCCAGUGCCCAUGACUAGGGUGUUUUGUGUCAUCCUGCAGUUUGGCACGACCUCUGCAUUUCCUGCCAAUAAUGCUGGCUGUUGUUUCUGAGCAAAUG
Puma concolor (puma) is the source of this 1166-nucleotide long non-coding RNA. RefSeq lists it as uncharacterized. The record is from RefSeq and is a predicted model, not a curated record. Lineage: Eukaryota; Metazoa; Chordata; Mammalia; Carnivora; Felidae.